Molecule: ribosomal RNA, 281 nt
Filed under: uncultured prokaryote
Description: partial 16S ribosomal RNA
Rfam family: Bacterial small subunit ribosomal RNA
Source: RNAcentral
UACGUAGGGGGCUAGCGUUAUCCGGAAUUACUGGGCGUAAAGGGUGCGUAGGUGGUUUCUUAAGUCAGAGGUGAAAGGCUACGGCUCAACCGUAGUAAGCCUUUGAAACUGGGAAACUUGAGUGCAGGAGAGGAGAGUGGAAUUCCUAGUGUAGCGGUGAAAUGCGUAGAUAUUAGGAGGAACACCAGUUGCGAAGGCGGCUCUCUGGACUGUAACUGACACUGAGGCACGAAAGCGUGGGGAGCAAACAGGAUUAGAUACCCCCGUAGUCCCUGAGCGGG